RNAcentral lists this long non-coding RNA (228 nucleotides) under Phoenix dactylifera (date palm). RNAcentral describes it as "long non-coding RNA (PDAC_LNC021425)". The record is from RNAcentral. Lineage: Eukaryota; Viridiplantae; Streptophyta; Magnoliopsida; Arecales; Arecaceae.
UCCAACUAAGUGGUUCCAAGUUCGAAACGCACGGACAUCGAUUAAAUUAUGGAGAUCGGAUGCUCCCUACUCGGAUACGAGAUUUGGAAGGACUAUUGGUCCGCUGGUAGCCUCGAUAGUGCCGUGUGUGACGUGCUUACACAGAGAAUUUGUACCGGAGCUCAGAAAGAUAUUCGAAUCGGACUCAUGAAUGGGGAGGGUAUGAAUAAAAUCGGCCGGGAUGCUCAA